RNAcentral lists this ribosomal RNA (663 nucleotides) under Salmonella enterica subsp. enterica serovar Bovismorbificans. RNAcentral describes it as "partial 23S ribosomal RNA". It matches the Rfam family "Bacterial large subunit ribosomal RNA", at positions 1 to 682 of the family's 2925-position model. The record is from RNAcentral. Lineage: Bacteria; Pseudomonadati; Pseudomonadota; Gammaproteobacteria; Enterobacterales; Enterobacteriaceae.
GGGUUGUGAGGUUAAGCGACUAAGCGUACACGGUGGAUGCCCUGGCAGUCAGAGGCGAUGAAGGGCGUGCUAAUCUGCGAUAAGCGCCGGUAAGGUGAUAUGAACCGUUAUAACCGGCGAUACCCGAAUGGGGAAACCCAGUGUGACUCGUCACACUAUCAUUAACUGAAUCCAUAGGUUAAUGAGGCGAACCGGGGGAACUGAAACAUCUAAGUACCCCGAGGAAAAGAAAUCAACCGAGAUUCCCCCAGUAGCGGCGAGCGAACGGGGAGGAGCCCAGAGCCUGAAUCAGCAUGUGUGUUAGUGGAAGCGUCUGGAAAGGCGCGCGAUACAGGGUGACAGCCCCGUACACAAAAGCGCAUGUGCUGUGAGCUCGAUGAGUAGGGCGGGACACGUGGUAUCCUGUCUGAAUAUGGGGGGACCAUCCUCCAAGGCUAAAUACUCCUGACUGACCGAUAGUGAACCAGUACCGUGAGGGAAAGGCGAAAAGAACCCCGGCGAGGGGAGUGAAAAAGAACCUGAAACCGUGUACGUACAAGCAGUGGGAGCCCCACCACUAAGCCAGUGGUGAACUCCACAUACGCAUCCUUUGCUGAGGAUACGGUUAACGGAGCGAAAGCGACGUUCAACCGCAAAAGAAGCAGAGGGGGCUUAGUGGUGGGG